RNAcentral lists this ribosomal RNA (268 nucleotides) under uncultured bacterium. Its description in RNAcentral is "partial 16S ribosomal RNA". It matches the Rfam family "Bacterial small subunit ribosomal RNA", at positions 1234 to 1500 of the family's 1533-position model. The record is from RNAcentral.
ACGGUACAACGAGUCGCAAGCUCGCGAGAGUAAGCUAAUCUCUUAAAGCCGUUCUCAAUUCGGACUGUAGGCUGCAACUCGCCUACACGAAGUCGGAAUCGCUAGUAAUCGCGGAUCAGCAUGCCGCGGUGAAUACGUUCCCGGGCCUUGUACACACCGCCCGUCACACCAUGGGAGUUUGUAACGCCCAAAGUCGGUGGCCUAACCUUUAUGGAGGGAGCCGCCUAAGGCGGGACAGAUGACUGGGGUGAAGUCGUAACAAGGUACC